This 615-nucleotide ribosomal RNA is filed under the name uncultured bacterium. RNAcentral's name for it is "bacterial SSU rRNA". The stretch from base 1 to 532 matches the Rfam family "Bacterial small subunit ribosomal RNA", at positions 338 to 873 of the family's 1533-position model. The record is from RNAcentral.
CCUACGGGAGGCAGCAGUAAGGAAUAUUGGACAAUGCCCGCAAGGGUGAUCCAGCCAUGCCGCGUGCAGGAAGAAGGCCCUAUGGGUCGUAAACUGCUUUUACACCGGAGAAAACCUCCCUUCGUGAAGGGAGCUGAUAGUAUGGUGAGAAUAAGCAUCGGCUAACUUCGUGCCAGCAGCCGCGGUAAGACGAAGGAUGCAAGCGUUAUCCGGAUUCAUUGGGUUUAAAGGGAGCGUAGGUGGACUGAUAAGUCAGUGGUGAAAUCUUCGAGCUUAACUCGGAAAUUGCCAUUGAUACUGUUAGUCUUGAGUACAGUUGCUGUGGGCGGAAUAUGACAUGUAGUGGUGAAAUACAUAGAGAUGUCAUAGAACACCGAUUGCGAAGGCAGCUCACAAAGCUGUAACUGACACUGAGGCUCGAAAGUGCGGGGAUCAAACAGGAUUAGAUACCCUGGUAGUCCGCACUGUAAACGAUGAUUACUCGCUGCUAGAGGGCAACUUUAGUGGCUUAGAGAAGAGANAGUAAUACACCGUAGGAGGUACGCCGGCGACGGUACGAACGUAAGAAGUAGUAGACGNGAGAGAGCGACGGACGACGACGACGGGAGGGAGGAG